AUACCUUUCUCGGCCUUUUGGCUAAGAUCAAGUGUAGUAUCUGUUCUUAUCAGUUUAAUAUCUGAUACGUGGGCCAUAGGUCCACACGAUAUUAAAUUAAUUUUUUAUAGUGGAGGGUCCGUCAAGGUAGCUUGCUACCUGGAUCCUCGCGCGUCGCCCAUACGUUGCACUACUGUACGGGCCUGGCGCGCACUCC
RNAcentral lists this small nuclear RNA (196 nucleotides) under Salix viminalis (osier). It matches the Rfam family "U2 spliceosomal RNA". Rfam says of the family: U2 is a small nuclear RNA (snRNA) component of the spliceosome (involved in pre-mRNA splicing). Complementary binding between U2 snRNA (in an area lying towards the 5' end but 3' to hairpin I) and the branchpoint sequence (BPS) of the intron results the bulging out of an unpaired adenosine, on the BPS, which initiates a nucleophilic attack at the intronic 5' splice site, thus starting the first of two transesterification reactions that mediate splicing. Lineage: Eukaryota; Viridiplantae; Streptophyta; Magnoliopsida; Malpighiales; Salicaceae. The record is from RNAcentral.